UCCAAAAUCAGCUGCCUACGCAGAGGACAAACUUUACCAAACCUUAUCCUGACUCUUUCUACAUACCCAGAACUGUAUACUUUAAAGCCAAAGGGAAACUAUCUGAACUGCAUCACCAACUCCAAUGUUUUCAGGAACAAAGUAGGUAACAUAAAAAGCAGGCUUGUGGAAGAUAAAUCCAGUGGGUCUAUUAAUGAAGACCAAUCCAGUCUCAGUGUGGAGGAUGCAACAAGAAGAAAAGAGCUACUCAGAGAACUUGAGAAAACAGAAUUUACUGUCAAGAGUUCUCAGACCUUUCAAAAGGUCUCAGACCCUAAGCACCAUGUUCUCUAAUGAAUAAGAUUGUACAACCAAUGUUAAUCAGCUUCUCAGAUUACUUCCUUGGUUCCAGAAACCUCAUCUUUCUCACCUGCCACUCAGACAAGCCUCAGUGAAUGCUGGUUCAGAGGAUACUGUACAGACUGGAGAAUCAUGCAUGGAAGGUCGAUGUCUACUCUGAUGACUCCAGGAUGGAAGGAAGGAUGCCUCAUGUGACCCUAACCUCCACCAUUUCUAG
This 556-nucleotide long non-coding RNA is filed under the name Homo sapiens (human). RNAcentral's name for it is "HSALNT0086873". The record is from RNAcentral. Lineage: Eukaryota; Metazoa; Chordata; Mammalia; Primates; Hominidae.